This 484-nucleotide ribosomal RNA is filed under the name uncultured bacterium. Its description in RNAcentral is "partial 16S ribosomal RNA". It matches the Rfam family "Bacterial small subunit ribosomal RNA", at positions 30 to 507 of the family's 1533-position model. The record is from RNAcentral.
AUUGAACGCUGGCGGCAGGCCUAACACAUGCAAGUCGAGCGGAUGAAGGGAGCUUGCUCCUGGAUUCAGCGGCGGACGGGUGAGUAAUGCCUAGGAAUCUGCCUGGUAGUGGGGGAUAACGUCCGGAAACGGACGCUAAUACCGCAUACGUCCUGAGGGAGAAAGUGGGGGAUCUUCGGACCUCACGCUCUCAGAUGAGCCUAGGUCGGAUUAGCUAGUUGGUGGGGUAAAGGCCUACCAAGGCGACGAUCCGUAACUGGUCUGAGAGGAUGAUCAGUCACACUGGAACUGAGACACGGUCCAGACUCCUACGGGAGGCAGCAGUGGGGAAUAUUGGACAAUGGGCGAAAGCCUGAUCCAGCCAUGCCGCGUGUGUGAAGAAGGUCUUCGGAGUGUAAAGCACUUUAAGGUGGGAGGAAGGGCAGUAAGUUAAUACCUUGCUGUUUUGACGGUACCAACAGAAUAAGCACCGGCUAACUUCGUG